CAAUAGCGUAUAUUUAAGUUGCUGCAGUUAAAAAGCUCGUAGUUGGAUUUCGGGUGGGAAUGGCCGGUCCGCCGUUUCGGUGUGCACUUGCUACGCCCACCUUGCUGCCGGGGACGUGCUCUUGAGUUCACGCUCGGGACACGGAGUCGGCGAGGUUACUUUGAGUAAAUUAGAGUGUUCAAAGCAGGCCUACGCUCUGAAUACAUUAGCAUGGAAUAACACGAUAGGACUCUGGCCUAUCUUGUUGGUCUGUAGGACCGGAGUAAUGAUUAAGAGGGACAGUCGGGGGCAUUCGUAUUUCAUUGUCAGAGGUGAAAUUCUUGGAUUUAUGAAAGACGAACUACUGCGAAAGCAUUUGCCAAGGAUGUUUUCAGUAA
This 377-nucleotide ribosomal RNA is filed under the name uncultured eukaryote. RNAcentral describes it as "partial 18S ribosomal RNA". It matches the Rfam family "Eukaryotic small subunit ribosomal RNA", at positions 592 to 976 of the family's 1831-position model. The record is from RNAcentral.